Molecule: long non-coding RNA, 1010 nt
Organism: Poecilia latipinna (sailfin molly)
Lineage: Eukaryota; Metazoa; Chordata; Actinopteri; Cyprinodontiformes; Poeciliidae
Exons: 3
Source: RefSeq, a predicted model, not a curated record
UUGAGUUUUUGUUUUGUUGGAGCUCCAUCCUUCUUCUGGGCAUCCUCUAGAUGUCGCCAGAGGCGAGCCCCUGGGAGGCUGCGGGGGUAACCCCGUGGCCACACCUGUAGCUUGUUUGGAGGGCGUGGAUUGCAGAUAUAAGCAGCGGCUGAACAACUUCUCAUCGCCUGAGUGUUAGCUUACCUCGGUUAUCCUGUUGCCUCCUCGCUGCUCCUGUGUGUGCCAUCAGCCCUGGGCUCAGAGAGAAGCUCUUGUCCCUCGCUGUCUGUGAGUUGCUCUCCUCGUGUGUCCUCCCUCGACGCUGCCGGUGUUACCGGUCAGACGCCACCCCUCGUGUGUUCACCUUUCCCAGUCUCGGUCCGUCUCCAGUGGAUCCCCCUUCGGGACGCAGCGGAUCUGUCGAUCCUGGCCCGAACCCAUCUGGAAAGAAGGAACAACUGGACCGCGACGUUCUUCGCUCUUUCCGCCGCAAAUAACCUGUCCGCCCUCCGACGAGGCUCAAUUAUCCAGCGCUCAGCUCUCAACUACUCACCUUCAGAUCAAUAAGACGACCCGGUCAUCCGCUCCAGUACUCACUCCCUUCCCCUUCCCCUGGAAUCAAUAAACUCAUUAUUGUUUAUUUACUCUGACUCAUCUGAUUGUGUUCCUGCAUGUGGGUUCGUAGAGUGAACACCAUCAUGACAGAACACUCAGGCCAGAUCACAACCUCCGCGGACUCAAUCAGAAAAGCCUUAUCCGAUCAACACGCCUUAAUUCAGUCCCAUGAUUCAGCGUUAAGAGAACUGGGAAACCGCCAAGCAGAGACAAACCGUCGACUAACUGAAAUUUCUAAUUUUCUUCAGAAUUCAGUACAACAGGUUCCUGACCCCUCUCCUGCUCCUCCCGCAACUCCAGAUCCGCCCGUCCAUUCCGGGAUUUCGGAGGUCCGUCCAGCUACACCGGAGAAGUUCUCAGGAGACAUCAGGAAGGUUAAGGGAUUUAUCCUCCAGUGUACUAUUGUCUUUAACCAU